GCUGCGGGCCCCGCGCACCCACCCCUGCUUCCUUCUGGCUUCCGGCGGCGACCUGCAGGGGGUGGCUCUGAGUGGGCGGGGUCGACCUCCCGCCACACCUCCAGGUUCCAAUGGCUUCACAAGCAAAGUCUAUCAGAUAUUUGAAGAAGACAUAACUCUGAUCUACAUAAUCUCUUCCAGAAAUGGAAGGAACACCUCACAACUCAUAUGGAUAUACAUCUUUAGGGCAUUUCAAAAUAUACCAACAACUUUCAGAUCCAGAGAAACUCAGGAAAAUAAGGGCCAGUAAAUGUUAUCUACUAUCAACUUCCAUCCAAUGUAGAAAUCUGUUGAAGAACACUAGUUAAAAAAGCAACAACACACACAAAAAAAAUUCCCUCUUUGCAUUAUGUCUAGACCAAUGGCGUGGCUGCUGUGACCAUGAAAGUCAUUUUUCUAUCCCAGAAGAUGUGCUGCCUCACAAAGUGACUAAUCUAAAGCUGACUUUAUUGCCAUAUAAAUUUCAGAGACCCUUACAUGCAUGGUCUUUUCCAAGACUCUGCACUAAACUUAGAACAAACAAUUCUGUAUUCUUUGUUCAUAAAUAAAGC
Long non-coding RNA from Fukomys damarensis (Damara mole-rat), 590 nucleotides. RefSeq lists it as uncharacterized. Lineage: Eukaryota; Metazoa; Chordata; Mammalia; Rodentia; Bathyergidae. The transcript has 3 exons. The record is from RefSeq and is a predicted model, not a curated record.